AAGAAAUCAACCGAGAUUCCCCCAGUAGCGGCGAGCGAACGGGGAGCAGCCCAGAGCCUGAAUCAGUAUGUGUGUUAGUGGAAGCGUCUGGAAAGGCGCGCGAUACAGGGUGACAGCCCCGUACACAAAAAUGCACAUGCUGUGAGCUCGAUGAGUAGGGCGGGACACGUGGUAUCCUGUCUGAAUAUGGGGGGACCAUCCUCCAAGGCUAAAUACUCCUGACUGACCGAUAGUGAACCAGUACCGUGAGGGAAAGGCGAAAAGAACCCCGGCGAGGGGAGUGAAAAAGAACCUGAAACCGUGUACGUACAAGCAGUGGGAGCACGCUUAGGCGUGUGACUGCGUACCUUUUGUAUAAUGGGUCAGCGACUUAUAUUCUGUAGCAAGGUUAACCGAAUAGGGGAGCCGAAGGGAAACCGAGUCUUAACUGGGCGUUAAGUUGCAGGGUAUAGACCCGAAACCCGGUGAUCUAGCCAUGGGCAGGUUGAAGGUUGGGUAACACUAACUGGAGGACCGAACCGACUAAUGUUGAAAAAUUAGCGGAUGACUUGUGGCUGGGGGUGAAAGGCCAAUCAAACCGGGAGAUAGCUGGUUCUCCCCGAAAGCUAUUUAGGUAGCGCCUCGUGAAUUCAUCUCCGGGGGUAGAGCACUGUUUCGGCAAGGGGGUCAUCCCGACUUACCAACCCGAUGCAAACUGCGAAUACCGGAGAAUGUUAUCACGGGAGACACACGGCGGGUGCUAACGUCCGUCGUGAAGAGGGAAACAACCCAGACCGCCAGCUAAGGUCCCAAAGUCAUGGUUAAGUGGGAAACGAUGUGGGAAGGCCCAGACAGCCAGGAUGUUGGCUUAGAAGCAGCCAUCAUUUAAAGAAAGCGUAAUAGCUCACUGGUCGAGUCGGCCUGCGCGGAAGAUGUAACGGGGCUAAACCAUGCACCGAAGCUGCGGCAGCGACGCUGAUGCGUUGUUGGGUAGGGGAGCGUUCUGUAAGCCUGCGAAGGUGUGCUGUGAGGCAUGCUGGAGGUAUCAGAAGUGCGAAUGCUGACAUAAGUAACGAUAAAGCGGGUGAAAAGCCCGCUCGCCGGAAGACCAAGGGUUCCUGUCCAACGUUAAUCGGGGCAGGGUGAGUCGACCCCUAAGGCGAGGCCGAAAGGCGUAGUCGAUGGGAAACAGGUUAAUAUUCCUGUACUUGGUGUUACUGCGAAGGGGGGACGGAGAAGGCUAUGUUGGCCGGGCGACGGUUGUCCCGGUUUAAGCGUGUAGGCUGGUUUUCCAGGCAAAUCCGGAAAAUCAAGGCUGAGGCGUGAUGACGAGGCACUACGGUGCUGAAGCAACAAAUGCCCUGCUUCCAGGAAAAGCCUCUAAGCAUCAGGUAACAUCAAAUCGUACCCCAAACCGACACAGGUGGUCAGGUAGAGAAUACCAAGGCGCUUGAGAGAACUCGGGUGAAGGAACUAGGCAAAAUGGUGCCGUAACUUCGGGAGAA
Molecule: ribosomal RNA, 1484 nt
Filed under: Escherichia coli
Lineage: Bacteria; Pseudomonadati; Pseudomonadota; Gammaproteobacteria; Enterobacterales; Enterobacteriaceae
Description: partial 23S ribosomal RNA
Rfam family: Bacterial large subunit ribosomal RNA
Source: RNAcentral